AGCUUGGGCCACGGGGCUGUCCAGCUUGGAGAGAGGCCUUUCACGCCGCAGUCCCCAGCUGCGAGAGGAAGGGCUGCGCCCGCCUCCUCACCUACCUCUCGGAACCACGCCGUCCGCCGCGCGUCUUGGUAGACUGCAGGAGCCCAGGGCUUCUGGGGACUGUGACGGCGCCCAAGGCGAGGGAUAAGGCGGCUCCGGGUCGCCGCCCUCUGUCCCCCCGCUCUGCGAGGCCUCUCGAGGCAGUGUCUGUGUCUGGGGCAGCGACGCCGACGGCGCUGGGGGCGCGAAGGGGCUCAUGCUCCUGCGUCCCCCUGGCGCCAGUGAGUUGCGGGCGAGAACAGGGUCCGGGAGGGGGAUUGGCGCGAGCGCUUCCUGCCUCCGCCCGGGCGGGGCUCGGCCGUCUCACCUGCCCCCACCCGCGGCGCCGUCGGAUCCCAGAGCUGCUGCGGAGACCUGAAAGCAGCUUAACCAUGAGCAGCACUCAACUAAGCAAAGAAAUUCUUCGCAAUAAAUAGGGAUGUUUGAAAGGUUUUACGUUGGACCCGCCUUACCGUAGACAGACACUAGAGGGUGCUCCUCGCUCAGAAAGCCGCGUGUUUCCAGGCCUGGGACCUCUGCCAGAAAGCGCUUGGACUGCUGGUCCUGAAACUUCCUCUUUGGGUCUGGUAAUUUACUGGGGAGAAGUAUCUGCUCCCUUGGUUCUGAAACUAAAGGCUUUUACGGAAGGAGGAGGAGACUGCAAGCGGCUACAUGGAGCAGAAAUGUGGCUCCUCCAAACUUUCACCAAUUGGAGUUCUGCUGGACUGCGACUUGGAGAAUACGAGCAGUGUCUCAUUCACCCAGGAGUCCCAGGGUCUAGCACACAUAGUGUCUGGCAGAUAGUAAGCGCUUUGUAAAUAUUUAUGGAAUGGGACCAACCAAUGGGGGUGUCUGAGACCUAAAUAAUUACAAUUCCAAAUUGGGGAGUGCUGGCACGAUGACCACACAGUAUUAAGGGCGCUCCCAGAAGAAUGGGGGCUGGGGAGGACUGGCCAGAAGGGCUUCCUGAAAUUCAGGAGCCCUGGCACUCUCUGGAGUACACAGAAAAGAUCUUCCACAUCUGGCUUUUGGAUAUUUAAAAACAGCUUCAUGCUCCAUUUCUUCCAUGUCCUUCCUGUGGAAUGAUUUCUAGGCUUUUCACUAAGUUGAUUGCUCCCUGCAGACUUACAGGAAGGCAAAUAAUAGUUUAGCACCUACUGGGUUCAAGCAUCUCCUAUGAUCUCCAUUAUCUGAUUUAAUUGUGUCUUUAUCUCAUUUAAUCCCUGCAACAACUCUCUGAGACUAAGGUUAUUAUCCACAUUCUACAGAUUAGAACUUGGCAAGGUUUGAUAACGGGCCCAAGAUCACACCAUCAGGGACCGACAGGACCAGUAUUUGAACCCAGAUAGUCUAGUAGCAAAAGAUGCUUUUAAAAAUUUUCACUUAAAAGAAUAACAACAACAGCAACUAACAGUAUGGAGGGGGCCAGAUACUUUUCUGUGUUUUACAUUUAUUAACUCAUUUAAGUUGUUUAAUUGCUAUACACUUAGAUGUCAUCCUUUCUAUUAGUACAUUGUUAGUACUGAAAAGUGAAGAGAAUGAUUAACAAACACCCAUGUACUCAUCACCUGCCAUAAAAAAAGAUUAAAGUUGAUAUUAUCCAGCCGCAAAAAUAUUGAAAAAGAACAAGGUUGGAGAACUUGGCCCAGUGCAGUGGCUCAUGCCUGUAAUCCCAGCAUUUUGGGAGGCCAAGGCGUGUGGAUUGCUUGAGCUCAGGAGUUCGAGACCAGUCUGGGCAACAUGGUAAAAAUACAAAAAAUUUCUACAAAAAAAAGUUUCUACAAAAAAAUAUACAAAAAUUAGCCUGGUGUGGUGGUUAGCUCGCCUGUGGUCCCAGCUACUCAGGAGGCUGAGGUGGGAGGAUCACCUGAGCCCAGGGAGGCUGAGGCUGCAGUGAGCCAAGAUAGUGCCACUGCACUCCAGCCUAGGCAAAAGAGCAAGAUCUUGUCUUAAAAAAAAAAAAAGUUGGAGAACUUACACUUUCCAAUUUCAAAAGCUACAGUAAUAAAACAAUGUGGUACUGGCA
RNAcentral lists this long non-coding RNA (2104 nucleotides) under Piliocolobus tephrosceles (Ugandan red Colobus). RNAcentral's name for it is "lncRNA (ENSPTEG00000032747.1)". Lineage: Eukaryota; Metazoa; Chordata; Mammalia; Primates; Cercopithecidae. The record is from RNAcentral.